RNAcentral lists this unclassified non-coding RNA (728 nucleotides) under Zea mays. RNAcentral describes it as "misc RNA Zm00001eb144110". Lineage: Eukaryota; Viridiplantae; Streptophyta; Magnoliopsida; Poales; Poaceae. The record is from RNAcentral.
CAGCCGUCACGGUCUCACGGACCGCGCCCCAGCCGCCCUGCGUUGCUCCCUGGGCUUCGUCGCCACCGGUAAGAUCUUGCCUGAUCUCGCCGCCUUCCUCCCUUCUUCCUUGCCUUGCUCCCUACUCGCGGCCACGCUCGGCGCUCGCGCCGCUGCCUCCCGGUGCUAUCCGUGCUCGCUUCUUGUGCAGCUGUGCUGCCCGCUGCCUCCCUGUGCUGCUCGGCGCUCGCGCUCGGCGUCGCUGCUGCGUCUCUGCCCUGCUCAGUGCUCGUGCUUGCGCUCGGCGUCGCUGCUGCGUCUCUGCCCUGCUCAGUGAUCCAUUAGCUAAUUCAUCUCUUGUUGGAGAUGACUCUCUUCUCACAUGGGAGCAUGUUGAUCAUGCCACCGGUGCAUCUACACACCUUCAAGGCCGCUACUUUCCUAUGAGAGCCCAUGGUAUUCAAGUGUCAACAGUUGAGGACAAUGAAGAUUGGCUUGAUGUGGGUGAAGAGAAUGAAGAUGAUGAAAAUUUUGUGCUUGUGUGCUAUGUUUGUGCCUUUGUGGUUGUGGACAUUGCAUUCCACUUUAGUUGCUUUAGUGCUAUGUUUGUGAUUGUGGACUACUGCACAUUUCAUUCCACUUUGUUUGUGGUUGUCUACUUGCUAGUUGCUAUUAGUUGAACACUUGAACUUGUGUUAUUGUGGAUUUGCGGUAGUGUGGUUAUGGACAUGUUACAUUAUUAUGUGAAA